RNAcentral lists this ribosomal RNA (370 nucleotides) under uncultured organism. Its description in RNAcentral is "bacterial SSU rRNA". It matches the Rfam family "Bacterial small subunit ribosomal RNA", at positions 526 to 896 of the family's 1533-position model. The record is from RNAcentral.
CGAAGGGGGCUAGCGUUGUUCGGAAUUACUGGGCGUAAAGCGCGCGUAGGCGGUGAUCUUUGUCAGAGGUGAAAGCCCGGGGCUCAACUCCGGAAUUGCCUUUGAAACGGGAUCGCUUGAGUCCGAGAGAGGAUGGCGGAAUUCCUAGUGUAGAGGUGAAAUUCGUAGAUAUUAGGAAGAACACCGGUGGCGAAGGCGGCCAUCUGGCUCGGUACUGACGCUCAGGCGCGAAAGCGUGGGGAGCAAACAGGAUUAGAUACCCUGGUAGUCCACGCCGUAAACUAUGAAUGCUAGUUGUUAGGAAGUUUACUUCUUAGUGACGCAGCUAACGCGUUAAGCAUUCCGCCUGGGGAGUACGGUCGCAAGAUUA